This 1439-nucleotide ribosomal RNA is filed under the name Leuconostoc pseudomesenteroides. RNAcentral's name for it is "bacterial SSU rRNA". It matches the Rfam family "Bacterial small subunit ribosomal RNA". Lineage: Bacteria; Bacillati; Bacillota; Bacilli; Lactobacillales; Lactobacillaceae. The record is from RNAcentral.
UAAUACAUGCAAGUCGAACGCACAGCGAAAGGUGCUUGCACCUUUCAAGUGAGUGGCGAACGGGUGAGUAACACGUGGACAACCUGCCUCAAGGCUGGGGAUAACAUUUGGAAACAGAUGCUAAUACCGAAUGAAACUUAGUGUCGCAUGACACAAAGUUAAAAGGCGCUUUGGCGUCACCUAGAGAUGGAUCCGCGGUGCAUUAGUUAGUUGGUGGGGUAAAGGCCUACCAAGACAAUGAUGCAUAGCCGAGUUGAGAGACUGAUCGGCCACAUUGGGACUGAGACACGGCCCAAACUCCUACGGGAGGCUGCAGUAGGGAAUCUUCCACAAUGGGCGAAAGCCUGAUGGAGCAACGCCGCGUGUGUGAUGAAGGCUUUCGGGUCGUAAAGCACUGUUGUAUGGGAAGAACAGCUAGAAUAGGGAAUGAUUUUAGUUUGACGGUACCAUACCAGAAAGGGACGGCUAAAUACGUGCCAGCAGCCGCGGUAAUACGUAUGUCCCGAGCGUUAUCCGGAUUUAUUGGGCGUAAAGCGAGCGCAGACGGUUGAUUAAGUCUGAUGUGAAAGCCCGGAGCUCAACUCCGGAAUGGCAUUGGAAACUGGUUAACUUGAGUGCAGUAGAGGUAAGUGGAACUCCAUGUGUAGCGGUGGAAUGCGUAGAUAUAUGGAAGAACACCAGUGGCGAAGGCGGCUUACUGGACUGCAACUGACGUUGAGGCUCGAAAGUGUGGGUAGCAAACAGGAUUAGAUACCCUGGUAGUCCACACCGUAAACGAUGAACACUAGGUGUUAGGAGGUUUCCGCCUCUUAGUGCCGAAGCUAACGCAUUAAGUGUUCCGCCUGGGGAGUACGACCGCAAGGUUGAAACUCAAAGGAAUUGACGGGGACCCGCACAAGCGGUGGAGCAUGUGGUUUAAUUCGAAGCAACGCGAAGAACCUUACCAGGUCUUGACAUCCUUUGAAGCUUUUAGAGAUAGAAGUGUUCUCUUCGGAGACAAAGUGACAGGUGGUGCAUGGUCGUCGUCAGCUCGUGUCGUGAGAUGUUGGGUUAAGUCCCGCAACGAGCGCAACCCUUAUUGUUAGUUGCCAGCAUUCAGAUGGGCACUCUAGCGAGACUGCCGGUGACAAACCGGAGGAAGGCGGGGACGACGUCAGAUCAUCAUGCCCCUUAUGACCUGGGCUACACACGUGCUACAAUGGCGUAUACAACGAGUUGCCAACCCGCGAGGGUGAGCUAAUCUCUUAAAGUACGUCUCAGUUCGGAUUGUAGUCUGCAACUCGACUACAUGAAGUCGGAAUCGCUAGUAAUCGCGGAUCAGCACGCCGCGGUGAAUACGUUCCCGGGUCUUGUACACACCGCCCGUCACACCAUGGGAGUUUGUAAUGCCCAAAGCCGGUGGCCUAACCUUUUAGGAAGGAGCCGUCUAAGGCAGGACA